Xenia sp. Carnegie-2017 is the source of this 659-nucleotide long non-coding RNA. RefSeq lists it as uncharacterized. Lineage: Eukaryota; Metazoa; Cnidaria; Anthozoa; Malacalcyonacea; Xeniidae. The record is from RefSeq and is a predicted model, not a curated record. The transcript has 2 exons.
AACUAAAUUAUUUAUCCACUGGUGAGAAAAAAACGAACGUUUGUAAAUGGCCUUUAUAAUGGAAUCAAAAGAGCCAAAGUUAAGAGUAUUUGUCUAAAGAUUACUCAAGACACAAGGUAAAAAGAACAAACGAGACCCAUCUUAUGGGAGGUUUCAAUCUCAAGCUUACUCGAGACGUUUAUAUCAAUAAGAAAGAUAAACAUGAGCGGGUGUAGGGAGGAUAUCUAUUUCCAUUACUCAAUCCUGUUAUUUCCAUUACUCAAUCCUGUUAUUUCUAUUACUCAAUCAUGCUAUUUCUAUUACUCAAUCUUGCAAUUUUUAUUGCUCAAUCAUCUUUGAAAAAAGAACAAAGAUCACAAUGAAAAACAACUCACUCUGCUGGAUAAAACAUGGGAAAAUGUCAAAAACAAAUGAGUUAUCUAUUGUUUAUUAUGACACUGUGGAAGAGAAGCUUUUACGUCAACAUAUUUGUGGUAAAUUGAACAAAUGGAUACAACGAUUUUUCUUUUAGUAGUGUCGCACAAGUGACGCUUGUUUUUAGAGGGAAAAUAACCUUCCUAAAUAUGGUACACUUCAUUAACUUCCUAUGUCAAUAAACAGAAAGUAAAGGGAAAAUAUUUGUGCUUUUACAAAAACAGAUUGCAAAUUAUACAUACAAA